RNAcentral lists this unclassified non-coding RNA (296 nucleotides) under uncultured Ascomycota. RNAcentral's name for it is "sequence contains ITS1". The stretch from base 1 to 105 matches the Rfam family "5.8S ribosomal RNA", at positions 50 to 154 of the family's 154-position model. Lineage: Eukaryota; Fungi; Ascomycota. The record is from RNAcentral.
GAAAUGCGAUAAGUAAUGUGAAUUGCAGAAUUCAGUGAAUCAUCGAAUCUUUGAACGCACAUUGCGCCCUCUGGUAUUCCGGGGGGCAUGCCUGUUCGAGCGUCAUUUCAACCCUCAAGCUCAGCUUGGUGUUGGGCAUCACCGGCCCCGGUGUGCCCCAAAAUCAGUGGCAAGGCCACCUCGGCUCCGAGCGCAGUAGAUCUUCUCGCUUGUGGAGGCCCGGUGUGUUGCUGCCAACAACCCCAUAUUUUCUCAAGGUUGACCUCGGAUCAGGUAGGGAUACCCGCUGAACUUAA